UGAGUCAGCCGGAUAAUCGCUGCCUGUGACGAAAAUGAUCAGGGGGAGGAAAGUCCGGGCUCCACAGGGCAGGGUGCCAGCUAACGGCUGGGGGGCGUGAGCCUACGACAAGUGCAGCAGAGAGAAAACCGCCUAAGUCCUUCGGGACCGGUAAGGGUGAAAGGGUGCGGUAAGAGCGCACCGGGCCACUGGUAACAGUUGGUUGCAAGGUAAACUCCACCCGGAGCAAGACCAAAUAGGGUUCCUUAUGGUGUGGCCCACAUCGGAACCGGGUAGGUUGCUUGAGCCAUAGAGCAAUUUAUGGCCUAGACGAAUGAUUAUCGAUCUCCUUCGGGAGUGAACAGAACCCGGCUUAUAGGCUGACUCAAAUA
Pseudoalteromonas ruthenica is the source of this 371-nucleotide non-coding RNA. It matches the Rfam family "Bacterial RNase P class A". From Rfam's summary of the family: Ribonuclease P (RNase P) is a ubiquitous endoribonuclease, found in archaea, bacteria and eukarya as well as chloroplasts and mitochondria. The record is from Rfam. NCBI's taxonomy places the organism in Bacteria, Pseudomonadati, Pseudomonadota, Gammaproteobacteria, Alteromonadales, Pseudoalteromonadaceae.